RNAcentral lists this ribosomal RNA (502 nucleotides) under uncultured bacterium. Its description in RNAcentral is "bacterial SSU rRNA". It matches the Rfam family "Bacterial small subunit ribosomal RNA", at positions 29 to 518 of the family's 1533-position model. The record is from RNAcentral.
AGCGAACGUUAGCGGCAGGCUUAACACAUGCAAGUCGAGCGAGAAAGGGGCUUCGGCCCUGAGUAAAGCGGCGGACGGGUGCGUAACACGUGGAUAAUCUGCCCUUCAGUGGGGAAUAACGUUCCGAAAGGAACGCUAAUGCCGCAUGUCACAGCAAUGUCUCUGGACAAAGUUGGAAAAGGGGACGCCCGCAAGGGGUUCUCGCUGGAGGAUGAGUCCGCGGCCCAUCAGCUUGUUGGCGGGGUAAUGGCCCACCAAGGCGAAGACGGGUAGCUGGUCUGAGAGGAUGACCAGCCACACUGGGACUGCGACACGGGCCAGACUCCUACGGGAGGCAGCAGUAAGGAAUAUUGCGCAAUGGGCGAAAGCCUGACGCAGCGACGCCGCGUGGGGGAUGAAGGUCUUCGGAUUGUAAACCCCUUUCGGGAGGGAAGAUGGAGCGAGCAAUCGUUCGGACGGUACCUCCAGAAGCAGCCACGGCCAACUUCGUGCCAGCAGCCGC